Molecule: ribosomal RNA, 345 nt
Filed under: Neogloboquadrina incompta
Lineage: Eukaryota; Foraminifera; Rotaliida; Globorotaliidae
Description: partial 18S ribosomal RNA
Source: RNAcentral
GAUUGACAGGAAGUAUCGUCUUUUGAAAUCUUUAAGUACAUGUCGUUUCUAAUGACAUCUUUUAGAUGAAUGAUUCGUGUAAAUAUGCUAGUUCUUUCAUGAUUAUGUGAUAGGUGGUGCAUGGCCGUUCUUAGUUCGUGGAGUGAUCUGUCUGCUUAAUUGCGUUUCACUAUGGCCCCAAAGUUAGCAAGUUAUCCAAUCAUGACCUUCGUCGACCCCUCACCUUUGAGUGCGCGUCCUAGCUUAGAGUACAUGGUGUAAAUGGACUUGUUUUGGGUACCCAGAAAGCAACGAAGUGACCGCAACGUCUUGUUGUCUCUCUUUGACAGUUAUGGGUUAUCCCAG